Molecule: small nucleolar RNA, 89 nt
Filed under: Lachancea lanzarotensis
Lineage: Eukaryota; Fungi; Ascomycota; Saccharomycetes; Saccharomycetales; Saccharomycetaceae
Description: Small nucleolar RNA SNORD24
Rfam family: Small nucleolar RNA SNORD24
About the family: U24 is a member of the C/D class of snoRNA which contain the C (UGAUGA) and D (CUGA) box motifs. C/D box snoRNAs have been shown to act as methylation guides for a number of RNA targets. U24 is encoded within an intron of the gene for ribosomal protein L7a in mammals, chicken and Fugu.
Source: Rfam by way of RNAcentral
GACACAUGAUGUUAUACUAUAUUUGCUACUUCGGACGGGCUCUCGGAGCCCGAAUGAGACAUAUCUUAAUCACCAAGAUCUCUGAUGUC